This 467-nucleotide ribosomal RNA is filed under the name uncultured bacterium. RNAcentral's name for it is "partial 16S ribosomal RNA". It matches the Rfam family "Bacterial small subunit ribosomal RNA", at positions 28 to 507 of the family's 1533-position model. The record is from RNAcentral.
GACGAACGCUGGCGGCGUGCUUAACACAUGCAAGUCGAACGGAAAGGCCCUGCUUUUGUGGGGUGCUCGAGUGGCGAACGGGUGAGUAACACGUGAGUAACCUGCCCUUGACUUUGGGAUAACUUCAGGAAACUGGGGCUAAUACCGGAUAGGAGCUCCUGCUGCAUGGCGGGGGUUGGAAAGUUUCGGCGGUUGGGGAUGGACUCGCGGCUUAUCAGCUUGUUGGUGGGGUAGUGGCUUACCAAGGCUUUGACGGGUAGCCGGCCUGAGAGGGUGACCGGCCACAUUGGGGAUGAGAGACGGCCCAGACACCUACGGGGGGGAGGCGUGGGGAAUAUUGCAAAUGGGCGGAAGCCUGAUGCAGCAACGCCGCGUGCGGGAUGACGGCCUUCGGGUUGUAAACCGCUUUCGCCUGUGACGAAGCGUGAGUGACGGUAAUGGGUAAAGAAGCACCGGCUAACUACGUG